GCGGCAAACCUCCGUUGAACCCCUCGGCGCAUCGCACCGAGAACGAGUUCGUCGAUGUGUUGGAAGUGGUGCAAUUGUGAACCAUAUCCGGUCGACCUGAUACACAAACAGCUUUUUCUCUUUGCGUUGGACAAUAUUAAACGGAGAAAAUUUUAGCGGAUCUGCCACAGCUUGUUGUUCAAACAAGAUCUUUUUUCUCAAACGGACGCAAGCGACACGAAGAUGCGACUAGAUCCGGCGCAAAAAGCUAAAGCAUGCAGUCCGGCAAAUGCCCUAACGUAAAGAGAAAUAUGUCCCUUCUACAAGACUCUCCACUCAUCGUUAAAAGCGUAACAAUUAAAAGGUACAAUGGAGGCGAUGCAUCAAAGUACAGUUUAGUACUGUCGAAUGGUUUGCAGUGACACGAAUUAGCAUCAUCAGCGAUUGUGCUGUAACUCACGCGGCGCCAGCAUUCCAGCCAACUAUUUGGACAACUAUAGAAGGAGGCAACUUGCUUCUCCGAUUUCGGUUUACCAACGAUCUACUAGUUCCUACUGGGUUCCUUCUCUACCAUUUUCUGCUGAAUUUGUGCAAAUACAUAUGUACGUCCUUCGCCAUACUAUUUUACACUUACACGAGAAAAAUAAAUCUCGAUCCAUGAAGAAUUUGAACCAGCAAGUCGAACAAUUUCAAUUUUAACUGGCGACUUCUAAUAAAAGAAAUUACAAAACGAAGGAGACUAUCCCGGUUUUUACAAGACUAUAAAUAAUAGUUGGUAUGGACUAACUUUCGAGAUCCAAAUCUGUUACUGAAUAAUAUAUCAGUAAUUUUAAAUAUUCGAUGAUACUGAAUAUAUGUAUAUUAGAAUGAAUCGCAAUAAUAGAAAUUACAAACACUUGAAGGUUAGUAGUACGCGAUACAAUUUAGAUGACAUAAUUUCCACUGCAGCAGUAAAAUGCUAUAGAAAGUAAUGCUAUAGAAAAUAUUCAAGAAAUUGAAAGAAGGGAUAAGUAGUGCACGGUACAAUAUAAACAAUAGUAUAAGCAAUAGUAGAACGAAAUAGAAAGUAUAUAGAAAACUAUUCAAGAAGUAGAAACACGCGAAAACAAGUAGUACACAGUGUAAAAUAGAAGAUUCUCUAGAGAAGCUCUUCUCAACUCUCGAUAUAAUCUCCAAACCUUCUUAACAACGGCUGCUCAGUUAUCCGCAACCCUUAAAACGUGGUAAUUCAACCGGUUAGCAGAUCGCAGCGUGUCGCGGCCCGACAAACAACAAUUAGCCAAGCUAAAUAAUUGGCGUUUGGGGUUCGCGUGUUACGUCAGGCAUCUUCGAGCGGCGCUGUAGCCGCGCCAGUGGGCGCGCGCGCGCGCGUUAUUUGCAUACAUUCUCAUUAAGCGGCGGUACUCGGCAGGAUAAUUUGAAUAUUGCACGUUACUCGCGCUGAUGAAACGUAAUUCGAGCGGCGUUACCUCGCGGAGGAACAAUUCCUCGAGACGUUGGGACACCGACGUUGCGAGUCAGACGAACAUUCGGCUAGGGCAACGGCGGGGAAUCUUGAUGAGGUGUUUCCACAAGCAGGGUGCUCUGAAAUAGCGAUGGCUUCCGUCUCUUUCCCCUCGUUGCUGUUCUUUACCCUUAUGAACAGCGAAACUUCUAAUCUCGAACGCGUUACACGUCCCAUUAAACAAUUCGUUGCAAGGAAACGUUCAACGCUUUCGUGUUCCACGCAUUCACGAUCGUUUUAGGGAUGGAAGAGCAGAAAUGAGAUUGAAGGUUUGGGGGAGAUUGAUCUUUAAAUGAUUUUCGAGAGAACAGAUACCUGAUAUGUUGCUUUGUUGUUCUAUGGUACAGAUCUUCGUGGCUAACUGGAGAGCAUCGACACAGUCUUUGUUGAAUCAAUAACUUUCUUCGACCUAUUAUAAUUCGUGAUUUUAUUUGGAUGAAUAUUUUACAAAUAGGUCAUUAGAUAUUCAUGAAAAUUCGAAUUCCUGUAAAUAAUAUUUAAGAAAUAGAAAUUAAGUAGAGAAUGGUUUUAUUCACUGAAUAUUGUUACAAAUACUAUAUCUCUAGAUAUUUCAUAUAAUUUUAUAGAUUUAACUUGUAACAUUUACCUUGCUAUUCUUGUUUUAACAAAAUGUCAUACGAAUUUCUACGUUUUAAUCGCGAUAAAAUUACUAACCAUCAAUGUAUAAAUAAUACACGGUAGUUUCGAUGACGUAUAGUGAAAAUUGUGCAACUACGAUAGUUUCAAUAAGCCAAAACUGAACAUAUCAAGAACAGAGCAUGAUGUUAGCAGGGUUUAACGAGUUUAGAGAAAAUUGCUACUGAAGCCAGUUAACGUCGAAGACAGGCCAACUUUAUAUUUUUGGGAAAUUUAAUACGAUGUGCUAACAUAGUUGAAGGGGAAAACUUAAUAUUUCGUGACCUAGUCCACAUAGUUGGCAGAGGAUAAUGUAUACACGACACGUUUAGAACGUUCACUGGCACUAAAGUUUAAGGGUCGUAUUAGGGAACAUUGGUUUAAUAUAUCAUAAGCUAUCUACAUGCUUGUCGAAGGACGUCGAGUGGAAGUUGAUUUACAAGCGAUACGUUCGACGAAGCUAAAGGAAGGUGUUACAAACACUGAUGUAAUAUCAACCCGCUGUCGAAGGAUGUAAGGAUGAAGUCGAUGCUCAUGGGAUAUAUUAUGGAAAUUUACCAAGAGUGAAAUCGAAGUACGAUUUUGGGAAAUUUUCAGCUGGUAUCUCAUGAACUAUAGAUACCUAAAACUUUUCUUGAUUGCACAAAUUAUUACUACAUCGUGUUAUUUUAUUCUAUUAGGGAUGUUUAUGAACAUGCGAUCUAAAGAUCUGGUCUAGAUGGACAUUUGUUUUACCAUUAUUAUAACGAAUAUUUUACUUUGAAUAUUUUAUAUAUUUCUGCAUAUUAUGGACACUCUGUACAUUUUUGCGGCCUUAAAAUUCUAGCGCUAUCUAAUACUAAAUUCGUCACAAAGUUUUUUAACAACCUUUUUAAUCAGCUUCCAUAUGUACAGCUAUGUAAAAUUCGCUUGUUUCAAUUUUAUUGAAGAAAUAAAAAGAUGUUGGAAGUAUUUUGUGGUUUUGAUUCGAUAGUCAGAGACCAUACUACCUUAGAAAUGUAUUACAUAAUAUAAGAAAAUGUCUUUACGUGAUAUUAUAUGAAUGCAUACGAAGAUACUCUAUGCUUCAAGAAAUAUCUCAGAAUACAUUUUUCAUCAUUUCUUUCUUAAUUUAAAAAUUUUCCCUUUGGCGUCACUAUUUGUUUUCACAGAAUUUUCUCGAAUUAAGUCUUUUUUAAACGAUCCUACCUCGUGAAACAAAUGCCAGAAUAUUUCAUUUCAUUUAAUGGAAGUUCUAUCUGUAUUCAUCGUCGCGAAUCGUCACUGACCCAACGUGUUUAAUGAGGAAGGAAGGGUGAAAAAAAACUGGUUGAGACAAUGCGGACGGAAAGUAAUCAGGUUCGAGUGUCAGUCGACCGAAGAUGCAUUGCUAAUUAAACUACGGAAAAGUUUCAACUGGUUCGCGAUAGACUCGUUGAAAUGGCGAUUAAAACCAUUCCACCGUGUCCGUUUCGUUGGAAAACUGAGUUUCGCGUUGUAGAUGUAUGAUAAAUGCCUGUAGAGAACCGUUUGAAGAAAACUCGGUUGUUUAAGUGGAACAGGUCCAAGGAAGGUAGCUACUUUGAAACUGGUUGAAAAAUGAACGGUUUGAUGAAUUAUCGGCAAGAACAUUCGAUGUGUAGGUAUAAUUCUGUUUGCAAUAUUUCAAAUAAGACUGCAGCUCGCACGAGCUGCGUAAUUCGCUCUCACGAUUUAAUAUUUUCCUCGCUUAGCGAGAAAUAUCCCUCCUUCGGCAGAAAACACAGACUGGAUUCUAGAUGUAAUAAUAAUAAAACGUAGUAAUAAUAUUCAGCCAAUUCUACAAUUCUCAAUCCGUACUACGAGAUUAUAAAGAAUGAUCAAGGCAAAUAUUUUCAUGAAAUCGCAGAGCGUAACUCAUCGCCAUAAGCCAAUCUUUAGUUCAGUUUCAUCAACAUUCUUCCCAGGCUUUUCACGCGUCGUUCUAUUUUCGCAUAUUUUACAAAUUUCGAAAUUUAUUUUCUCAUUUUGUCUUUGCACUGUCCCUGCUAACCAAUUGACUGUUACGAGUUUCUGAACUCAUCUUCCCUCCUUCCAUAUAUUUAUCGAUUGUUAUCGAUAAACAGUACUAACAAAACUUUUGUAUUGCGCAAUGCGUGCAGAAUCGAAUGAAUCGCGAUACGUAAAAAUCAUCUGACAAUGACAAGAAACACAAAAGUCGAAACACGGUCGAACACGAACGCGUAUACGACAAAAAGAACAUUUGUAAACGUACAAACAAUUACGCGGCAAACCAUCGAAUUAUUUAAGACCUACUACUUUCUGUGAAAGUCAUCGCGUCAUUAAGUUGUCAUAGGAGAAGUUGAAAAAUACGCGAUGUUGAUCGAUAAAAAUAAUCGCGAGUUGCGUUAUCUGGCCAUUCGGACAAGUUGACAUUAACCUAUUACACCUUCUAUAGAAAUCCUAAAUAGAAUAAAAUAAAAAUUAAAAUUCUGACUGCGCGCUAACUCUUCCGGUAACAUUAAUUUUUCUUCUAAAGAGAAACCUGUUAACAGGCUGUACAGUGAGUUUCACGCUUCCAAUGAAAAUGGUAGUUUAGUGAGCCGGUUUUAAUUUCCUCGGCCGUUUUCCCGAACAGGACGUAGCUUCGCGCUGGCCGUUCGAAUGAAUUGUGGUUAUUUCGGGCAUCCUAACUAUUGUAUGGAAUGGAAGCUGACGAGUUCGUGAGUAAACCGCGAUGUUGCGGUGAUAUUUCGGUUACUGUGUCAUCGGCUCGAUGUUCAUAUUAAAGGUGUGUUUGCAAAAUCGCAGCGGCAUACGUAAUAAUACAUGCGCGCUAAUGCUUUCGGUAUCAUUCGCUAUCCGCUGUGAAAUUAAUGCCGCGGAAACGAUAGCAAGUGGAUCACGACUGUGAAGCGAUAACAAGUAUUUUUGAACUUUACUAAUAAACUCGGAUUCAUCGUGCUUCGAUUUCUGAUUCGUCUUCGUAAAUCUUCGUUUUCCUCGAACCUCGAUUUUUUUUUUUGGAAAGUCUCCAAUGUUGUUUUUUACAACGACUGCGAUUCAUCGUGCCCGCGCGUGUUACGUUACUUUUACUUUUUAGAAAGAAGACUAUGCUCGUCGUUUAAUGUACCGCGAUGAAAAUUUGUCAGUUAUACUUUCCGACUAAUGUAAAGAAAAAAAUAGAAAUCUUUGACAAUAGAUUGUCGAUUAGACGUAUUUUAAGAGGGAGAAACUUUAAGCUGACAUCUUCCUAAAUUCUUAGCUAAAAUCCUCCUGAAACAAGAUUCUAGAGCCAAUUACGUUCUAUUAUAUUUCAUUAUAUUCAACACAAGAAGUAAUCCCUCUUCAAAAACACCUUUUUAGAAUUACUCGCUACCGAGUAUCGUCGUCCGCAGCCUCUCUCAUUCGUACAAUUGUAAGGCUAAAAAGAGGUAUUAUACAGGCGAAAAACCACGCUUCUCUCGUUUACAGUUUCCAGAGAACUGGAACAUUCACCGAGAAAGCAGCGGGAACAAUCGAAAUAACGGAGGAAAAGGAAACGAUGAUAAGGGAGGCCUCGUAGAAGGUAACGUUACCAGAAAGAUAUAGGCGACGAGAGUUUGUGAACCCUGGGGCACGAUUUUUCCUUUGUAUCAUCGAUGAAACCACUGCUAUCUGUGCGAUACUGUAGCAUUUUCAUCGGCCAUGCGAUUAAAAUUUUAUCGCCGCUUUGGCCGGUUGAAUAUUUCAAGCUUGCGCCGGUCAACUGCGUAACGAGUGCCGCGAAUCAACAGGAACCUAGAUAAUUUAUAGAACAUGGAUUUUUAUGAAUUUACGAAAGAUUCAGAUAUACGAAAUAUCCAAAGUAUAGCGCUUGUUAUAAUACUUGAUAUGUAAAACAAUUUUCUACCAAGAUACUACCUGUUUAAAUACGUCCUCAAAAUUGCCAAUUUGCGUAAAAAUCCGCUGUCUACUAAUUUACAAAGGUUUAUUGCCGCGAUGUGCAGUUUAAUAAAUGACGAGUAACAAGCUGUUCGCGUGACUUGAUAGUCGUGACUCUGCUAGCCGUGCGGGUUUUUUAAUGGCCGAGAUUGUAGAUUCGCUUGCCAGUAUGUAGCGUCUAUGUCUGCUUUGUCGCGAGAAGUGAAAGAUUUUGGCGAUCGGUGGAUCGGAAGAUUUGGAGAUACAAAGUUUCAACGAAUAAGCUGGCCGUGUUUGCCGACUGGAUAGGAAUGUAGAUAAAAAAGAAAGAAAAAGCAAAAAGUAUGGUGAUAGAUUUGAAGUUCAAGAUCAAGGAAGUGGAGGAGCCGAAGUUGUUGAAUAAGCAGUCUGACGAUAUGAAGGCAGAAACUGGGGGAGUAAGCAAACAAGGGACGCAAGAAUGUAGAUAAUGAGUCUCGAAAUGUAAAGAAACAAAGCACCUCGGGAUACGAAUGCACAAACGAUGUAGCAGAACUAAAAACGAGCAAGAAAUAUAGUGAAAAAAAAUCAAGGGAUAAAAACAAACAACGAUCCAAGAGCAGAAAGGACGAAGCGGCGAGCGGAGCAACAGCUCAAGAAAAUAAACAAGCAGCAUGUAAAUAGGAAUGUGAAUACACGAACUAGCAGUACAGAAAUGCACAUAGAAAAACAAUCCACGAGUAAACCACACGACCUUAGCCACCAAUUAUAUUUCCCAGGCAAUUUUCAACAUUAUUAGCUGCAAAUCCAAAAUUAAAACUGCAGCCGUAGAUUUCUCUCGCUUCUUAAUCACAUCACACUCAAUCUUCCCGCUUAAUUGCCUGAAAGGAAUCUGAACGAGCCAUCAACAACCGCUAAUAAGCAGCCAUAAAGAUUGCAUUCAGCGUCAAGACCAGGCUGCGGCGCAUCAAUCGACAGAGGCGGUUCAACAGUGGGGUAGAAAGGAAAGAGAACCGGAAAAAGGCUGGCAGAAGGAAGGGGAAGGCACGAAGGCGGCUCGGACGUAAUUUGUAAAUGGAACGGGAGGCGAGAUUGAAUUUUACGUCGAAUGGAACCGGCAAUUUUCUUCUCGGCGAACACCGAGAACGAAGAAGCCGGCUGACGUGGUUUCACGUCGAACGAGCCUGAGACACGUCACGUGACGAUAUUCAAAGCCGUUGGAUGCCUACACUCUCUCCUUAUCUCGCUUUCUCUCCUUCAGAGAGCACGGACGAUCUUUUGACAUGCACCGAGACGUUUAAUUUCGCCCGACGCUCGCUCCGUGAAUUUCUGCGACCAAUUGAAUUACCCGGGCAAACUUCCCACCAGCUCCCUUCCAGUUUCCCUCGGGGAUGCUACGACCGACUCCUACGGUUGCAUAAACUUACGUUCGAUCGAGGACUGGUCGAUUAAACCGGGAAAUACACGAGGAAUGAUCAGUGAUUUCAGGGCUGUUGCUCGCUUUAACGGUACUACGAUGAAUGAUAUCACGUCGUUGUAUAUCCCUGUUCAUGUAUAUUGGGACGCAUCAAGGGAAAGAAAAUUUUACUAAACGAUUAGGGCAUCGUGAAAACCAUAUUAAUACGAAACUGAUUGCCUUCUGAUUGUAUUUACCGGUCACGUUCCUCGAUCGCAGUUUUCAUGAAUAUUUACACUCGAUCUACUUUUUACGAUCCUAUUUAUCAUAUCGUAUUAUAAAUAAUUUUGUAAUUCAGAUUUUUUCGAUCGCUCAUUUAAUACGUUCUAAAUUGCGUGAACGCAAAAUUUUUAUCGAUCCUGCGAUUAUUCCGAGAAUCAUAUGUAUCGUAAUCACACGCAUUAUUAUCAAGCAGCACACUACUAGAGAAAAAAUAACGAAGAGAUUCGUGGCUCUCAGUAUAUUAGAGAUUUCCUGAGAUUUGUAUUCGUACGAAACUAAUGCAUACGCAACGCACAAUAAUGAAAAAUUACGCAAUGAUCCGUGUCUCGGUGAAAAACUUUUCAAAAGCCGAUUUUGCAUUCUGUUGUUGGACAAACAACGGUCUUAAAUGUUCUUCAUCUGUUUCUUUACCGUUCGGUUCAAAGUUUGGAAAUUCAGCGGUAUGGUGUUAAACCUCGAAGGAUCUGUUCUCUCCAUAGAAUAAAGUCGGAAUGGAAAGAAUAGGUGGGAACUUAACGCGCGUAAGAAAGACGAAAAUGAUUCUUAGCCGGAAAAGGAAAGUUUCCCAAAGUUUCGUCAAACUACGAAACUUUCUUUAUGUAUUAGUUUUUGAUGGGUAACACGCGUUAAGUAAAAGUGUCGAUAAUAAAAUGGUUGCGAAUAAGGCUGCCAGUUGUUCUACCGAAGUUCGAUUCCCUCUCGAGAAACUCUAACUCCGAAAUCUCUGGGCAGGAUUCCGACUCUAAAACUCUCUCUAAACUCUCCUGCUAAAACCCUCGUUCACCAUCGUUCGAAAAGUUACAGUUGUAUCUACGUGUGUGCACGCUCACGAUGCGCGUUUACCAAAGCCCUUCCCUAAACAUCACGUUCACACUUCGUUUCGAAACAUUUGCAUUCGUGAUGUGGCAGAAAUAUCGCGUCAGAAAUAGUUUCCACUCGUAAAGCCUGAGGCAAAGCAAAAUGUAUAUGUAUUUAACGAUACAAUUGAUAAAAACGAUUAUUCUUGCUGUACGAGAUGAAACAUGAAAUUUUCAUUAAAGGAUUCAAACUCGUGCCUUGAAUCUCGUAUUCUAAUUCCUGCCCUUCGAUUACCCGAUUCUUCAUCUUCGAAUUUUUGUACCAUAAUUCUACUCGUAUUUUAACAAAAAAAAUUUCAAUAUCCGAAGAAAAACCUCAAACUCUUUUAAAUUUCCUUCAGAGAGAAAAUUGUUCAAGAUAAAAACGUGGUUGAGCAGAACUUUCCCA
Long non-coding RNA from Bombus pyrosoma, 8882 nucleotides. RefSeq lists it as uncharacterized. The transcript is spliced from 3 exons. The record is from RefSeq and is a predicted model, not a curated record. Lineage: Eukaryota; Metazoa; Arthropoda; Insecta; Hymenoptera; Apidae.